RNAcentral lists this ribosomal RNA (440 nucleotides) under uncultured bacterium. RNAcentral's name for it is "partial 16S ribosomal RNA". It matches the Rfam family "Bacterial small subunit ribosomal RNA", at positions 338 to 795 of the family's 1533-position model. The record is from RNAcentral.
CCUACGGGAGGCAGCAGUGGGGAAUAUUGCACAAUGGGGGAAACCCUGAUGCAGCGACGCCGCGUGAGUGAAGAAGUAACUCGUUAUGUAAAGCUCUAUCAGCAGGGAAGAAACUGACGGUACCUGAGUAAGAAGCCCCGGCUAACUACGUGCCAGCAGCCGCGGUAAUACGUAGGGGGCAAGCGUUAUCCGGAUUUACUGGGUGUAAAGGGAGCGUAGACGGCAGUGCAAGUCUGGAGUGAAAGGCGGGGGCUCAACCCCCGGACUGCUCUGGAAACUGUACGGCUGGAGUGCAGGAGAGGUAAGUGGAAUUCGUAGUGUAGCGGUGAAAUGCGUAGAUAUUAGGAAGAACACCAGUGGCGAAGGCGGCUUACUGGACUGUAACUGACGUUGAGGCUCGAAAGCGUGGGGAGCGAACAGGAUUAGAUACCCCGGUAGUC